RNAcentral lists this long non-coding RNA (549 nucleotides) under Hordeum vulgare. RNAcentral describes it as "long non-coding RNA (HVUL_LNC021475)". Lineage: Eukaryota; Viridiplantae; Streptophyta; Magnoliopsida; Poales; Poaceae. The record is from RNAcentral.
UUCUGCGUUGCAAUCGUAUGAUGAAUACAUUCAUAAAUGAUUGCAUGGGUUGGUCGAUAUGAAGACCUGGGUUGAUCCUCCUUUUUUCAAAAAAUAUGUUGAAAUGAGCGUUUAUUAUCAAGAGAUAGAAGAUUUGAUGAGGUGCCAUUAUGCAUUCUAGUGAAUGCAAAUAUCAAAAAUUGUACUACUUGAAACCCACACAGUGAGGUCUUUUUUUUAUGAAAAGCAAUAGCUGAAGUGCUUCAUUGAAUUUAAGAAGAGGAGUUUUAGCGACUACUCAUGGGAUACAAACAUGAAGUCCACACGGUUUUACCACCAGAGACAGCAAUUGGCAUCUCAUUACCUUUGAACAUCCCAAACCAGGACUCCAGGAGUUGCCUGAGUGAGCUGAUGCUUGCAAGGGAAUGGAUUCUAAAGAAGUUCACGCCACCUUUUGCUUUUGGCCCGACAAAUAGUCAGCACAAACAACACAUAUUCUAGAGUAACAUUGUUAGAGUCCUGGGAUCGGAGGUCGUAGCCAUGGUCUGGAGGUGCGUGAGGGUUGAUGNN